RNAcentral lists this ribosomal RNA (253 nucleotides) under uncultured bacterium. Its description in RNAcentral is "partial 16S ribosomal RNA". It matches the Rfam family "Bacterial small subunit ribosomal RNA", at positions 524 to 776 of the family's 1533-position model. The record is from RNAcentral.
UACGAGGGGGGCAAGCGUUGUUCGGAAUUAUUGGGCGUAAAGAGCUCGUAGGCGGUCUGUCGCGUCGGCUGUGAAAACCCGAGGCUCAACCUCGGGCCUGCAGUCGAUACGGGCAGACUAGAGUGCUGUAGGGGAGACUGGAAUUCCUGGUGUAGCGGUGAAAUGCGCAGAUAUCAGGAGGAACACCGGUGGCGAAGGCGGGUCUCUGGGCAGUAACUGACGCUGAGGAGCGAAAGCGUGGGGAGCAAACAGG